GACAGAGGGUGCAAACGUUGUUCGGAAUUACUGGGCGUAAAGCGCGUGUAGGCAGCCGUGCAAGUCGGGUGUGAAAGCCCUGGGCUCAACCUAGGAAGUGCACUCGAAACUGCAAGGCUGGAGUCCUGGAGAGGAAAGCGGAAUUCUCGGUGUAGAGGUGAAAUUCGUAGAUAUCGAGAGGAACACCGGUGGCGAAGGCGGCUUUCUGGACAGUGACUGACGCUGAGACGCGAAAGCGUGGGGAGCAAACAGG
This 253-nucleotide ribosomal RNA is filed under the name uncultured Chondromyces sp. Its description in RNAcentral is "partial 16S ribosomal RNA". It matches the Rfam family "Bacterial small subunit ribosomal RNA", at positions 524 to 776 of the family's 1533-position model. Lineage: Bacteria; Pseudomonadati; Myxococcota; Polyangiales; Polyangiaceae. The record is from RNAcentral.